This 579-nucleotide long non-coding RNA is filed under the name Triticum aestivum (bread wheat). RNAcentral's name for it is "long non-coding RNA (TAES_LNC020484)". Lineage: Eukaryota; Viridiplantae; Streptophyta; Magnoliopsida; Poales; Poaceae. The record is from RNAcentral.
ACUACUAUGUAUAGUUCUCCUGUGAUACAAUCCUGGACCACACAAAUGCCUUGUAUUAAACCUAAAAGGUAAAUGCUCUAAAUAGGAUUGUAGGAGAAAAGAAGAAUAAGUAGAUCCGGGAUGCAGUGGUGUGAAUGCACAAUGUAUGUGGGAUAUAGAGCUCUUUGCUAUAUAGAUAAAAACUCUAAUGGUAAACCUCGUGAAUCCUGAUUCACUCAAGGUACACAAGUUGUAGGGCUAAUAAUGGGCUCGUCUAAAAGGGACAUUUCACUAUUUGUGUCCCCUUUUUUCAUCCAAAUGGUAAAUUACAAUGUUUUAUGCAAAUAAUUUACAGAAGGAUUUAAGAACACACAAAUUAAUUUCAUUCUUGGAGAGGUGCAGACUGCAAUAAAGGGAGCUGGCGUUUGUAUGGCGUUAGUUUGCUGGUAUAACCAGCUGGAGUUAAUCAUCAGUUUUACAGUAAAAUUUUGGGCAUAAUAAGUGUUAUCUCCAAUAGAUUGAAGAUGAUAGACAUCAGAAUCCUUACCGGACCGCGCUUUGCAAUUCGAAACGAAAACCUCCACCCCGAGGAUCUUGCAG